Oncorhynchus keta (chum salmon) is the source of this 2366-nucleotide long non-coding RNA. RefSeq lists it as uncharacterized. NCBI's taxonomy places the organism in Eukaryota, Metazoa, Chordata, Actinopteri, Salmoniformes, Salmonidae. The transcript is spliced from 3 exons. The record is from RefSeq and is a predicted model, not a curated record.
UAUCUUUGGGUAUUUCGCAUGUAAGAUUGUUAGGGCCCUAGAAAUAAUUAAAUGUUUGGCCCCAUUCCCUUUCUGGGAAGGUGUGUACUGGUUAGAGCCCUAGAAAGCAUUAAGCGUUUGGCCCUAGUGUAAGGUGUGUACUGGUUAGAGCCCUAGAAAGCAUUAAGCGUUUGGCCCUAGUGUAAGGUGUGUACUGGUUAGAGCCCUAGAAAGCAUUAAGCGUUUGGCCCUAGUGUAAGGUGUGUACUGGUUAGAGCCCUAGAAAGCAUUAAGCGUUUGGCCCUAGUGUAAGGUGUGUACUGGUUAGAGCCCUAGAAAGAAUGAAGCGUUUGGCCCUAGUGUAAGGUGUGUACCGGUUAGAGCCCUAGAAAGCAUUAAGCGUUUGGCCCUAGUGUAAGGUGUGUACCGGUUAGAGCCCUAGAAAGCAUUAAGCGUUUGGCCCUAGUGUAAGGUGUGUACCGGUUAGAGCCCUAGAAAGCAUUAAGCGUUUGGCCCUAGUGUAAGGUGUGUACCGGUUAGAGCCCUAGAAAGCAUUAAGCGUUUGGCCCUAGUGUAAGGUGUGUACCGGUUAGAGCCCUAGAAAGCAUUAAGCGUUUGGCCCUAGUGUAAGGUGUGUACCGGUUAGAGCCCUAGAAAGCAUUAAGCGUUUGGCCCUAGUGUAAGGUGUGUACCGGUUAGAGCCCUAGAAAGCAUUAAGCGUUUGGCCCUAGUGUAAGGUGUGUACCGGUUAGAGCCCUAGAAAGCAUUAAGCGUUUGGCCCUAGUGUAAGGUGUGUACUGGUUAGAGCCCUAGAAAGCAUUAAGCGUUUGGCCCUAGUGUAAGGUGUGUACCGGUUAGAGCCCUAGAAAGCAUUAAGCGUUUGGCCCUAGUGUAAGGUGUGUACUGGUUAGAGCCCUAGAAAGAAUGAAGCGUUUGGCCCUAGUGUAAGGUGUGUACCGGUUAGAGCCCUAGAAAGCAUUAAGCGUUUGGCCCUAGUGUAAGGUGUGUACUGGUUAGGGCCCUAGAAAGCAUUACGCGUUUGGCUCUAAUGUAAGGUGUGUACUGGUUAGGGCCCUAGAAAGCAUUACGCGUUUGGCUCUAAUGUAAGGUGUGUACUCCAGUUACCCUGCUUUAACAGGAUUACAACAGAUAAAACAUACUAAGAUGCCCUGCGGCUGGGGGCAGAAAUGAAAUAGGAUGUAAUAAGGUAAUCUGGUGACUGGUGAUAAGAGGAUCUAAACAGAAUAGCAGCCAACAAUAGAUCAGCUAUCACUGAACAGGGAGCAGAGAUGGGCUCUGUCUGAAGGACUGCAAGACAGCCCUGGGUUGAUGUGAUGUCAAGAAUGUACAUGAACAAUGUUGUGUAUCUUUUGUGAAAUUUUAUUUAUAGAAUAAGGCACUUUUACAAUACAUGGGUCAUUGGCAUUGUCGUUUACAUUGCAGCUGUGUUUGUGUAAUACAUUUUAUCACUAAAAUAAUGAUACGCUCUGAAUGAAACACACCUAAAUGAAAGAGGAAAUCAUGCAAACUAUCAGAUAGCGAUUGGAUGUAAUGUCAUUGGAUUUCCAAUGUAUAUUACUGUAACAUAUUUAGUGAAUUUAAAGGAUGUUAAUACAUUAGUUAUAAUAACAAAUGUAGUCGUACUUAAAGAUGUAUAAACGUCAAAUUUGUGUGCAAAGUAUACUUUGUAGGAGAGCAGAACAUUGCUAGAAUAUAAAGGGAUCCAUUUAUAAUACUAUUCUUGUAAAAUAAGAUGUGUGCAAUACAUGUCAUGCUCAAUUCACUGAAUCUAGACAUUUGACUAUUGGCUCUGACAUUCUUACUGUCUAUCGGGAUAAUUGACAUUGUCUACUAGUAAUGUAAUGUAAACGUGACAAGAGAAAAUCCAAAAAGCAGGCAUAGGCAACGAAUGGUUCAGCAGCUGAAUUGAUCAGGACCACACCACGUGAUCAUGGUUAGGUAAAGAAUGGUUCAGCAGCUGAAUUGAUCAGGACCACACCACGUGAUCAUGGUUAGGUAAAGAAUGGUUCAGCAGCUGAAUUGAUCAGGACCACACCACGUGAUCAUGGUUAGGUAAAGAAUGGUUCAGCAGCUGAAUGGAUCAGGACCACACCACGUGAUCAUGGUUAGGUAAAGAAUGUUUCAGCAGCUGAAUUGAUCAGGACUACACCACGUGAUCAUGGUUAGGUAAAGAAUGGUUCAGCAGCUGAAUUGAUCAGGACUACACCACGUGAUCAUGGUUAGGUAAAGAAUGGUUCAGCAGCUGAAUGGAUCAGGACCACACCACAUGGUUAGGUAAAGAAUGGUUGAGCAGCAAGGGCCUGGUUUGUUUCAAAACAGAAAAUACAGAGAUUCAUUGAAGCACAACAAAUUAGACGUAUGUCUAA